This is a long non-coding RNA of Myotis davidii, 297 nucleotides long. RefSeq lists it as uncharacterized. The transcript is spliced from 3 exons. The record is from RefSeq and is a predicted model, not a curated record. Lineage: Eukaryota; Metazoa; Chordata; Mammalia; Chiroptera; Vespertilionidae.
GCCAUUUUCAGAGUUCUUGUGAGAAUACCUAGACCUGAAAUGUGGAAUCAAAAUUUGCCUGGAAUUCUCACUUGUGAAAAGAAUGAUGAUGUGAAAUAUAUGGAACACUGAAAACAUAGCAACCCACUUUGAAGCAACCUUUAAAAGCUAAGCAAAAAUUGUGAGCAGGGCACAGUGGUCACUCUUCAGAUGUUAGAAAUACCGUGCAGAGGUGUUCAUCCGAACUCGAUGGAAAAGGCAGGUGUCUGUUGAAUUAUACUGAUGGAAAUAACUGGUCAAUUCAGUCCAACAACUCGU